GAUGCCUGCCUUAAGUCUAAAGACUCUGACAGGUCUGGGAAUAUCUAAAAUUCCGAAGUCUCCUGGUGAUCUAUUUGCAGGAGAGUCAAGGCUCUCCUGAGAUGAAGUCAGCCUAAGGGGAGAGGGAGCAGGUUCUGAGCUGGACCAGUAACAGCGUGGUCCUGGAUCACUAAGGGCGAAUUGUGCUCCUGAGUCCUGAAGGGGAGUCUGCAUCUUGCCGGGAGAGAGGAAUCGUGCAAACACCUAAGAGAUGGUGUACUCAAAACCUUAGGCACCAAAGAUCUACUCCUGAUGCAGGACCUUGGGAGGAACAUUUGGAUCCGAGAGAAAAAGGCCUGAGCUGCCCGGAGAGAAGGCACCAUGACAGCUCCUUUCCCUCAUGUAGCACGACGCCCAUUCUUCUGCGGCCUGUGACGUCUCAUCCCUGCCCCCCGCCACCCAGGCCUCUUGCCGCCCAAGAGCCCCAGAGCAAUGCCCAGCCAUUGCUGCUUCAUGUCACGCCAGGACCCUGGAGCAUCAUCCUCAGAAGAAUCCAGAUCCUGAUGGGGCUAUCCACGGGCUGGAUGUCUGGGCUACAUAUCAUGGUGCCUGAAAGCCCAGGAAGGAGGGGGCACGUAUAGAGGAGAGAAUCCUUGGGGGCAGGUAUCCACUGAGACGCCUCCCACAUUCGGCAGCAUCUCAUCUUUUAUGGGAUAUGGACAACUAUGGUAAUGGUGGAAAGACAGAGUUGGGCAGGAAAUCUGAAUGCUGUUAUAAUAUGGAGAGGGGACUUCUGCAUAUAAAUUUUGGGCAAGUUUACUCCUGUGAGAGCUCUCCAGUUACUGUGUUAACCUACUCUUAAUGCAAAAUACCUCCCCCACCCCAGGAUUCUGGAAGCAGACAUUAUCUCUGACCCUGGGGAGACUUGGCCCUCGAUUGGCUAGAUGGGAAGCCUGUUUUGGUGCUAUGUUUCUGGAAAAGCUGGACUUGGAAAUGGUGCAGGUAUUUACUGGGCUGGCAAGAAGCUUAAUGUUUGUCUCUGGCUCCAUGUCAGGGGUGUUAUUUGGCCACUAAUGAUACAGUCUUGGAAACGUCAUAUCACCAUCCUGACCUCAGUUUCUUCAUCCGAGAAAAGAGAUAAUGUCAAAGGUUAUUAUUCACCUUGAAUAGGCUUUUAUUCUAAGUCUUGGAACAGACAACUUAACAUUUUUAUUUCCUUAUCCACAAAUGGGGAUAAUAAUACCCACCCUUACCUUCGAAUCUAUAUGAAAACCCUCAGACCUCUGGGGAAGAAAAGCAUUAUUUAAGCCCAGAGUAGAAUUAUUAUUCUAUUCUAUUUGCUCUCUCCUAGUCAUUCAUCACUGCCGUGCUGUACAAUUAUGCCCUGGGGUGAGUUAUGUGAACAAACAGCCACACUGGGCAAGUUUCUUGAGUGAUGGGACAUUCGGAUUGUGCUCUGUGGAAAAGACACCAAAAUCUUUUAUUUAGUUAUUUAGGUGGAGCGUGCUAUCUAGUUAGUACACAGGCCCAAACUGGAAUACAUUGCUACCUCUAGAAUGUAAUAUUGGUGGUUAUUUCUCCUUUCCAGUGUUGUCUUGCCUUUGAAUUUCUGUGGGCAUCAUCUGGACCAGUUCUGACCUGGGAAAACACAGCAUGAGUCCUCUUUGGCUCCCAGCAAGACCCUGAUAAUGCCUAAAACUUUGAUGCUGCCUGGGGUUUGGAGUGGAACCCAGGUCCCCAUGCUUGGAAAAUCUGCAUAGCCAAAUGUGCAUAAGUAAAGGCAUACCUCACCUAGCUAAACAAACACGCACAGGCUUAUAAUUGCCUUUGUAUUUUCUCAUUGUAGCCACCAGAGGCCUCCCAAAUUGUGGUCGAUUUUAAUGUCAGUGGAAAUCUACUGGGAAUUAACAAAAAAAAAAAUCAUUUUAAAAUUGAAUAGAAUGCCUACAAAAGUU
This is a long non-coding RNA of Leopardus geoffroyi (Geoffroy's cat), 1934 nucleotides long. RefSeq lists it as uncharacterized. The transcript is spliced from 3 exons. The record is from RefSeq and is a predicted model, not a curated record. NCBI's taxonomy places the organism in Eukaryota, Metazoa, Chordata, Mammalia, Carnivora, Felidae.